RNAcentral lists this non-coding RNA (24 nucleotides) under Cricetulus griseus (Chinese hamster). Lineage: Eukaryota; Metazoa; Chordata; Mammalia; Rodentia; Cricetidae. The record is from RNAcentral.
UAACACAUUGGUCUGGGAUGAAGC